RNAcentral lists this ribosomal RNA (319 nucleotides) under uncultured eukaryote. Its description in RNAcentral is "partial 18S ribosomal RNA". It matches the Rfam family "Eukaryotic small subunit ribosomal RNA", at positions 1470 to 1796 of the family's 1831-position model. The record is from RNAcentral.
CCCUUAGAUGUUCUGGGCUGCACGCGUGCUACAAUGGCGUUUCCAGCAAGUCUGCGAACCCGAGAGGGCCAGCGGAUCUUCGAAUUGGCGUCGUGAUCGGGACAGUCGAUUGCAAUUAUUUGACUCAAACGAGGAAUUCCUUGUAAUCGCGAUUCAUCAUAUCGCGCUGAAUACGUCCCUGCCCUUUGUACGCACCGCCCGUCGCUCCUACCGAUUGAGCGAUCCGGUAAAUGUUUUGGAUUGGUGCCGGGGCGGCUAGCUGCCGGUCGCUACGAAAUUUUGUGAACCUUAUCGCUUAGAGGAAGGAAAAGUCGUAACA